GAACGCUGGCGGCAUGCCUUACACAUGCAAGUCGAACGGCAGCACGGGAGCAAUCCUGGUGGCGAGUGGCGAACGGGUGAGUAAUAUAUCGGAACGUGCCCAGUCGUGGGGGAUAACGUAGCGAAAGCUACGCUAAUACCGCAUACGAUCUACGGAUGAAAGCGGGGGACUCGCAAGAGCCUCGCGCGAUUGGAGCGGCCGAUAUCAGAUUAGGUUGUUGGUGAGGUAAAAGCUCACCAAGCCUGCGAUCUGUAGCUGGUCUGAGAGGACGACCAGCCACACUGGAACUGAGACACGGUCCAGACUCCUACGGGAGGCAGCAGUGGGGAAUUUUGGACAAUGGACGCAAGUCUGAUCCAGCAAUGCCGCGUGCAGGACGAAGGC
Molecule: ribosomal RNA, 384 nt
Filed under: uncultured bacterium
Lineage: Bacteria
Description: bacterial SSU rRNA
Rfam family: Bacterial small subunit ribosomal RNA
Source: RNAcentral